CUCCACGCUGGGUAAUGGACGACGGCGGCGUGUGGCGAACAGGGAUACCGGUAGUCAGUGUCUGGAACAUCCCAAGGGGCGGCGGAGCUAGCACCCCGACACGUUAAGGCUGGCGAGU
This 118-nucleotide non-coding RNA is filed under the name unclassified sequences. RNAcentral describes it as "Betaproteobacteria-1 RNA". It matches the Rfam family "Betaproteobacteria-1 RNA". The record is from Rfam by way of RNAcentral.